GGCCGGGUGGCGCAAUGGCAGCGCGUCACUUUCCGGUGGUGAAGGUUCUGGGUUCGAGUCCCAGCUCGGUCG
Transfer RNA from Colletotrichum incanum, 72 nucleotides. It matches the Rfam family "tRNA". From Rfam's summary of the family: Transfer RNA (tRNA) molecules are approximately 80 nucleotides in length. Their secondary structure includes four short double-helical elements and three loops (D, anti-codon, and T loops). NCBI's taxonomy places the organism in Eukaryota, Fungi, Ascomycota, Sordariomycetes, Glomerellales, Glomerellaceae. The record is from Rfam.